This is a long non-coding RNA of Oncorhynchus tshawytscha (Chinook salmon), 1082 nucleotides long. NCBI's taxonomy places the organism in Eukaryota, Metazoa, Chordata, Actinopteri, Salmoniformes, Salmonidae. The record is from Ensembl.
CAUGCCUAUUCUAGACCCACAUCACCAGUCCUCACCUCUACCACCGUAUCUCUCUAAGCCCCAGAAGUAGAGGGUCACUUGGGCAGGAAGUCGUCCACCUUCAGGUUGCCCACGUACCAGAAGUUCAGGCUGAGAAACAUGAUGAUGGUUCUGGAGAAGACCAAGAGGUCCCAGAAGCUGAAGGGAGCAAAGAUGCCCAGGAAGAACAGAAUGAGGCCUGUAGCGUCCAGGAAGAUGGAUGUGAAGAAGAGAAGGCAGCGACCCAGCUGAGUGUCGGUACAGGUGCUGAGUGUAGGUACAGGUGCUGAGUGUCGGUACAGGUAGAGGUGCUGAGUGUCGGUAAAAGUACAGGUGCUGAGUGUCGGUUCAGGUGCUGAGUGUUGGUACAGGUACAGGUACAGGUGCUGAGUGUAGGUACAGGUGCUGAGUGUAGGUACAGGUGCCGAGUGUUGGUUCAGGUGCCGAGUGUCGGUGCAGGUUCUGAGUGUAGGUACAGGUGCUGAGUGUCGGUACAGGUGCUGAGUGUCGGUACAGGUGCUGAGUGUAGGUACAGGUGCUGAGUGUAGGUACAGGUGCUGAGUGUAGGUACAGGUACUGAGUGUCGGUACAGGUGCUGAGUGUCGGUACAAGUGCUGAGUGUAGGCUCAGGUACAGGUACAAGUGCUGAGUGUAGGUACAGGUACAAGUGCUGAGUGUAGGUACAGGUACAGGUGCUGAGUGUUGGUACAGGUACAAGUGCUGAGUGUAGGUACAGGUACAAGUGCUGAGUAUAGGUACAGGUACAAGUGCUGAGUGUAGGUACAGGUACAGGUGCUGAGUGUAGGUACAGGUACUGAGUGUUGGUACAGGUACUGAGUGUCGGUACAGGUGCCGAGUGUCGGUACAGGUGCCGAGUGUCGGUACAGGUGCCGAGUGUCGGUACAAGUGCUGAGUGUAGGCUCAGGUACAGGUACAAGUGCUGAGUGUAGGUACAGGUACAGGUGCUGAGUGUAGGUACAGGUACAAGUGCUGAGUGUAGGUACAGGUACAGGUGCUGAGUGUUGGUACAGGUACAAGUGCUGAGUGUAGGUACAGGUACUGAG